CCUACGGGAGGCUGCAGUGGGGAAUAUUGGACAAUGGGCGAAAGCCUGAUCCAGCCAUGCCGCGUGUGUGAAGAAGGCCUUCGGGUUGUAAAGCACUUUCAGUGGGGAAGAAAGCCUUGGGGCUAAUACCCUCGAGGAAGGACAUCACCCACAGAAGAAGCACCGGCUAACUCCGUGCCAGCAGCCGCGGUAAUACGGAGGGUGCGAGCGUUAAUCGGAAUUACUGGGCGUAAAGCGCGCGUAGGCGGUCUGAUAAGCCGGUUGUGAAAGCCCCGGGCUCAACCUGGGAACGGCAUCCGGAACUGUCAGGCUAGAGUGCAGGAGAGGAAGGUAGAAUUCCCGGUGUAGCGGUGAAAUGCGGAGAGAUCGGGAGGAAUACCAGUGGCGAAGGCGGCCUUCUGGACUGACACUGACGCUGAGGUGCGAAAGCGUGGGUAGCAAACAGGAUUAGAUACCCGUGUAGUC
RNAcentral lists this ribosomal RNA (465 nucleotides) under Vreelandella stevensii. Its description in RNAcentral is "partial 16S ribosomal RNA". It matches the Rfam family "Bacterial small subunit ribosomal RNA", at positions 338 to 795 of the family's 1533-position model. Lineage: Bacteria; Pseudomonadati; Pseudomonadota; Gammaproteobacteria; Oceanospirillales; Halomonadaceae. The record is from RNAcentral.